This 254-nucleotide ribosomal RNA is filed under the name uncultured bacterium. RNAcentral's name for it is "partial 16S ribosomal RNA". It matches the Rfam family "Bacterial small subunit ribosomal RNA", at positions 524 to 776 of the family's 1533-position model. The record is from RNAcentral.
UACGAAGGGGGCGAGCGUUGUUCGGAAUUACUGGGCGUAAAGGGCGCGCAGGCGGCCCUUGAAGUCAGGCGUGAAAGCCCCGGGCUCAACCUGGGAGGUGCGCUUGAUACUCGAGGGCUUGAGUGCGGGAGAGGAGAGUGGAAUUCCCAGUGUAGAGGUGAAAUUCGUAGAUAUUGGGAAGAACACCGGUGGCGAAGGCGGCGACCUGGGCCAAUAUUGACGGCUGAGGUGCGAAAGCGUGGGGAGCAAACAGG